This is a non-coding RNA of Bactrocera oleae (olive fruit fly), 1701 nucleotides long. The record is from RefSeq and is a predicted model, not a curated record. NCBI's taxonomy places the organism in Eukaryota, Metazoa, Arthropoda, Insecta, Diptera, Tephritidae.
CACCGAACCAUAACGCUUCAUCAUGCCGGAGUUGGCAAGGUCCUGACGUGAGGCUGUGUACUCUGGUAUGUUGAGAAUGGAACCCUGUGUAAACUCUUACCUGAUACAGAAUAUCCGGCCGAUACAUGGUGCCACUGCCCCAGUUCUCUUGCGGUGGCGUCAACUGAUCUAAAUGUGGCUGACUGCGAUGGCGCACCAUAUCCGUGCUGCUGGUGCUUUGAGCGAUUGUUGGGCAUGCUAUCUUGCCAUUGGCGCAAUUGUUCACAGCCUGAUUGUUCUAGAGUCGCAUAUGUAUGGGGAGAGCAGAGUUAGUUUCUAGCCACAAUAAGUGAAUUAUAAACAAAAAGAAAAAUAACAAACGUCAAGAGAGGAUAUAGAGAAAACACAACAAUCACAUAGGUAAAGGGUGGGGAGUGUUAGCAUUUGGGUAAAGAUUAAAAGAGAUAUUUGCGUACUAGACCCCCUUAAGGGUGCAAGCUUUGCUUGUGGGUGAGGAAUUCAUAAAAAUAUCACAGCGUGCUUGGAUUGCGUGCAGAUAUAAAGAGAGGUUAUACAAAUAUGUAUAUUUAAAUUAUUUGUAGCGAGCGUGCUGGAUGGGGCACAUACAUUUGUAUAUAACAGGAGUGCAGUAAGGUCUGUUUCAAUUGUUUGGGAAUCAGCGUUAAGUGUUGGGAACGAACUACAUUUUACUUGCGCUAACAGCAUGGUCAAGUCGAGCGAGAGCAUCCGGCAACGCGCCAAAGAGGGACGCAGCUGUCGUAACUGUGUGUAUAUGUGGUUAUGUUGUUGUUGUGGGUUGGAGACGCGCGCGCACACCGCAAACGACGAGAAUAGAAUAGAAACCAAUUAGAAUAAUAUGCAGAGAAAAUUUUCUUAAAAAUAAACUAGUCCGUAAAAUCAGAAGUUAAAAAAUAUUUCUGACUCCCUCACACACACUUACAUUGUUGCUAUUGAAGCCAUGUCCCACGCUGUUCGAGCGACACAAAGCCGCGUCAGCGCGUUGCGGCAACUGUAAAUAUUGAUCACCCUCAGUCGUGCCAGGUUUGAGUGGCUUCAGUUCAGCAGUCGUUGUAUUAUUGUCAAUAAUAUCGCUUUUUUGCGCUUUAGAUGGUUUUGGCGCCUCCAAAGGUCGGAAGAGCGCUCCGAAUAUUAUACAAUUCAGUACAAUGCCGCCAAUGAUAAGCAUAGCGCCACGCCAACCAAACGAACCGAUCAGAUAUUCGGUGAGCGGCGCAAAUACGAAUGUGCCGAAACCGGAACCACACACAGCAAUGCCGGUGGCAAGCGAACGUCUCGCCUCAAACCACGUUGUCACACUUACAAUGGCUGGCAGAUAGAUGAGACCCAGUCCAAAACCUGUGCCAAUACCAAUUGUAAAGAUGAGUGUGAGCACAUUCUGCGCGAAGAAACUGGCCACAAUGCAGGCGGAGGCAAAUAUAGCACCGGCUAUAGUGACCGCUCGACAACCGUAGCGAUUGACAAACGACGACGAGAUGGGACCUGUGAUUCAAGGAAGCAUAUAUAUAGAAUUUCUUCUAAUUUUUAAAAAGCUCGAUAAAACAGUACUCACCUGAAGCGUAGGUAACGCCUACCAUAAUGGACACAAUCCAGGCCGUAUAGCCUGAACCUUCAUUGAAGUAGGUCAGAAACUCAUCAUAGAAGAGACCAAACGAGUACGUCAUGCCAUCGGCUGUAAAACAA